UACGGGGGGGGUAAGCGUUGUUCGGAAUUACUGGGCGUAAAGGGCUCGUAGGCGGCCAACUAAGUCAGACGUGAAAUCCCUCAGCUUAACUGGGGAACUGCGUCUGAUACUGGAUGGCUGGAGUUUGGGAGAGGGAUGCGGAAUUCCAGGUGUAGCGGUGAAAUGCGUAGAUAUCUGGAGGAAUACCGGUGGCGAAGGCGGCAUCCUGGACCGGCAUUGACGCUGAACAGCGAAAGCUAGGGGAGCAAACGGG
Molecule: ribosomal RNA, 253 nt
Filed under: uncultured bacterium
Lineage: Bacteria
Description: partial 16S ribosomal RNA
Rfam family: Bacterial small subunit ribosomal RNA
Source: RNAcentral